Molecule: long non-coding RNA, 318 nt
Organism: Armigeres subalbatus
Lineage: Eukaryota; Metazoa; Arthropoda; Insecta; Diptera; Culicidae
Exons: 3
Source: RefSeq, a predicted model, not a curated record
GUUAUGUACCUAGUGUGCUCUAGCGAUUUACCUAAUUUUCCUACUUAAAAACUAAACUAAAUUAAUACAGCCUAGCCUAAAAGUAAUUAAGUGGUUAAGAGCUAAAAUUUAUUGAUUAAUAGCCUAGAGAAAACAGUUAAAAUACUCGCUCAUACUUCCAGAUAGUGCGAACUUAAAAGUAGAUACUAUCUUUGAAACUACGGGAACAUGCGUAAAAUUAACUAAACCUAAGACAAACACAUUUAGAACAGCAUUCCCAUCACCGAUCUAUAAGCUAAACGAAUAAGGAAAACGAACACAAUCGAGGCACUAAACGUA